Zeugodacus cucurbitae (melon fly) is the source of this 3872-nucleotide long non-coding RNA. RefSeq lists it as uncharacterized. The record is from RefSeq and is a predicted model, not a curated record. The transcript has 5 exons. Lineage: Eukaryota; Metazoa; Arthropoda; Insecta; Diptera; Tephritidae.
AAUAAUAUAUAAUAUAAUAAAUUGAAUAUUAGUGUGAACAUGCUCUAAAGCGAACGACGUUAAAAGUAAAUAAAUAAAUAAAAAAAUAUCGGAAGUUAUAGCGUGUCUGCUUGUAGUUGAUAGGCGUGCCGGCAUGGCUUGUUUAAGCGAUAAUUUCGUUAAUAAAUUAUAUGUGCUAGAUGUCGUCAAGUGCGACGUAACAGUGCAGCAAAAAAGACAAGUACAGGGACAACAGCGCAAUGACAAAUCACAUCGGCAGUAGGCAGUGAGGCAUAAUGUAAAGACGACAACUUCCAUAUACACUGUAUUGCUUGUUUAUAUGCAGAGAAACAUGCAUAUAUUUUUUCGCCGUAAAAAUUAUCGUUACUAUGCUUAUUAUUGUGGCUUUUGUUGUUGUUCUUACGUAGUUUACUAAUGAGUAAUAUUCGAUACGCCUCUUUUCAAUGGCGGGUCGAAUGAAGCGUUAUCGUCGCUAGUGUAGCCCAUGCAACUGGCUGUUGAAUGAAUGUGACAUUUAGUAUCUGCCUUUCCGAAACACGAAAAAUAUUAUGACUGAUAUUGGGGAUGCAGAAUAUGCACUUGGCAUUGGUUUUUAGUGCUCUGCAUUGCAUGCAUUGAUAAUAUCGAAUUUUUUUAAAUUGGUGAUAUGGAGAAUAAUGAGAAAGCCGAAAUGGCAGAACAUCUCAGUCAAAAAAAUCGUUAUUAAUUUUCUUGGUUACUGAAAUAUGGACUAGAAAACGACUGAAGAUUAUGAAUCUACAACCGAACGGAUUACACGUUUAAGGAAUCAUUCAAAAAUAACCCGCCACGCAAAUCUUAAUUGUAUAGUACUGACCUCAAACUGUGAUAAAAACAUUUUGAGUUGAUACUUAAGUGUACAUUUCACAAACGAAUAAAUGCCAAAUAAAUGUAUAUACUGAGCUAAGAAAUUAUUUGUUAUGAUUUAGUUGAUUUGUUCUAAACAAUUUUGAUAUUUUUUAUUAAAACUAAUUAAUUAAAAACCGGGGGAAAGAAAAAUUUAUUUCCUACAAGUGAAUAUACACAACUAAGCGUAACACCUUAAACAUCUAUACGUAUAGCUCGAAAAUGGUUAAUGGAGUUGGUGCAGGAAUAUACUGCCCGGAGAUAGAUAUAAAGCAACCUUACAAACUGCCGGACUACUGCAGUAUAUUUCAGGGAGAGGUGUUUGCCACUGGGAAAGCUGCGGAGCUAGCCUCUAAUGCACCAACCCGAUACUCUAGAGUUAACGUCUACGUAGACAGCCAAGCGGCAAUCUAGGCAAUAACCUCGUUUCGUAUAUCGGCCAAACGUGUUUUGAGAAGCAGGGUGGCAGUGGAGAGUGCAGCCACGAAUAUGCUGCUACACUUCUACUGGUUGCCAUCGGUGAGGGGAUUUCCAAGAUCGGUCUACAGCUGUCCCCCGGAAACAUGAUCGACAUUGGCAAACCCGUGCACUGUCUGCCCGAUGAUAUAGACAGAUGCAUGAUGAAGAAAAUCAAAGCGAAAUUGAAGAAUCUACCGGGAUGCAAUACCGCAAAGUCAUUUGCAAAGCGGUGGUUCAGAAAUAUACAAGUUUCCUACUAGCACUGUGCAUAAAGGACUGUAGGACCAUGGUUAGCAUACUUACUGGUCACAGCCUAGCAGCAGCGCACGCCUGUAAGAUGGGGCUUUCAGAUCGCUUCAGGUAUCUAGGGACCCCGCAGAACGAUAAGUUGGAGGAGAUAUCAUUAGUGAGGUCUCAUCAUCUCUUAAAAUUCGCGUUAAACGCUGGCAUCCUAUCAGAUGACUACUUCUCAGGGAAUACGUGACGGGACUCCAUCUGGUAUCGCUAAGGACCAUAACUGGUCUUCGCGGGGCCUGUUGGCCCACCAGACUAACCUAACCUAACCUAACAAGUGAAUAUUUAAAUACCUAUUGGCACGAAAAUUCUCUACAUACAUUGUGAUAUUGCAUGGUGAAUUAUAUAUUAUAUAUUAAUUAUAAAUCUUCGUCGGUACGAUGCAGUUUUGUUGGCCCUUAAACAGUUUUACGUACCAUUUUAUGGAAAUCAUUUGCAUAGAUUACGCUUAAAACUUAUACGUUUUUGUGUACCGCUAUUUGAUAGGAUUUACAUGAAUGAUUAAACUUUUCCAAAUAAUAAAAAACAGUAAAAACUAUUUUCUAAUUAUAAAUAUAUGGACGCAACAUUUGAGUAUAGUUUUUUAUUUUCAUUUCUGUUUGUUUUUAAGGGUUUAAUAGUGAUUAUUCUCAAUUUUUAUUUUGCACUUGACAACCUUAACCAACUGUCUUGUUUAUAGGAUGUUUCGGCUGCUUGUAGUGCUUCGCAGACCUAUCUUAAAUGUAUGUAACUGAAAAUCCAAAUUAUGGUAAUUAGUAGAGUUUUAUUAGUAUUUUAUUAUGUUCACGUUAAUAUUUUUCUGUAACACAUUUAAAUCUCAUAAUAAUCCAUGACAGCCAAUUUAUAUACACACAAAAAUAUAUUUUAUGUGUGUAUAUUAAGGCAACUAAACAUUGAAGCAGAGUAUUGUAGCGCCAGCGUAUCUCACCCAGUUUCAAUUUUAUUAGUUUAUUACGAUUAUGAUCUUUUAAUGACACCGUUGUACAGACAAAUGCUUUACAGCCCUGAAUAGUUGACGUACACAGCAAUUCUAUCCUUAAAAAAACAAUAACACUAACAUGAGACCAAUGAUAUGCGAAAGAAGCGAAAUAACUUAACACACAUAUCAUAACAUGCUUACCUACAUACAUGUAGAUGUAGGUACUUUAAGUGGUAGUUAAAACGAAUAAUGCGUGACGCUGUUUUAUUAUUUGUUUUGAUUAUAAAAAUGCUUCCAAUGGCUCCGAAUCCAGUUUCUAUUUGUUUAUACACCGACGGAUUUGGUCUUCUAUACCAUCACCAAAGCAAAUGCAUAAAACAACAAAAUUGCUGAUCUUGAUGCAAAGAAACAUAGUAAAAUAUGCAAAAUUGUGUUAAAAUGUGGGCAUAAGUAUGGAAUAUAAUAUAUAUAUAUAUCAUGUGUAGCUAUAAGAAAUAUUAAAUUUGGUUGCAAAGAAUGUAAUGUAUUAUGCACAAUAUGUUGUAGAGUGCAGAAAAUAAUCUUUAUUUAAUGAAAAUGUGUAAUAAUUAACUUGACAAAAUGUAUUCAAAAUAAAAAAGACAUAAAUAAAUUAUUAAAAAUGUUAAUACACUAUAUGUUAAGAAACUGUUACUUUUAUUAACUCAUAAUAGGGACUAAUCAUUCAAUAUGUUAUACUUAUAUUAUAUUAUUUAUUUGCAUUAUUUUAUAGGAAAUGUUUCCUUUAUGUUACACAGUUUAAAAUGCAGUUCUGUUCCUACAUAUAUUCAGAAUGAAUAUUACUAUAUCAUUUAUCCAAUUAUCAUUUGUUUUUAAUAUGCGUAGAUAAAUUAGAUACACCAAUCUACCUCUUCGUCUCUAUUUUCUUAUUAUAAAGUUCCUGUUUAAUUUUGACGCUUACAAUUAUUAAUAUAAACUAAUAGACUAUUGUUUAUAAUAAUAAGAAAAAAGCAAUAUUGUUUAAUAAUCCUUAUAAUGUAGAAAUUAAUAAAGUAAUAUUCUAGCGUAUUCAAUUUGUACACAACCGAGGAAUCCAAAUCUAUGCCCAAUCAAAUUAUUGCGUUCCAUUCCACUCUAUACUAGUAUGUAUGUACAUACAUAUGUAUAUACCACUACCAGUGGCAAGUGUUCGAUUAGAAAUUCACUGCAUAUUAGAAAAUCCAUAUUUUAAUUCGUGAAAAGAAUUGGGCAUUUCAUAUACAAUCCAUUGAAUAAUAUUUACAUUGCACUGCUACCGCCCAGCAUCUAACGCCCGCCUAAGCCGAGUUAGGCCAAUCAAAUAGCGAAUAAUAUUCAC